GCACUCCCAUGCCUCAACGAAAAAGAACCAGCGAAAAAACCUACGAAAUAAAACCUACGAAGAAAAACAAUGAAAAAAAAGCAGGCGACUCGCACGCACGAGCGAGAGUGCCCUCGAGCGAGGCCUCCAGAUUUCGCCGCCGCUCUCGCACUUGCCGUCGCCGAUGCCUGCGCUACCUCGACGGAAGCCAUCGCAAAUCCAUCCCUUCGCCGCCGCCCUCGCGCUCGCAUCAAGGAUCGAGGACUCCAGAGUGCCCUAAAUCCCUGCGCUACCUCCGUUCGUCGCCGCCGAUCUCGUCGCUACGUCGCUCGCCACGGGCAGGGAUCGGCGUCUCGCCGGCGUGGAGCGUGGCAGGGGAGAGAAGGGUGGGUAAGAUCGGCGGGGCAGAGUUCAUCCGGAAGGACGGCGCGGUGGACGACAUGUACGGAUACCUCAACUACCUGUCCCUCGAGUAUGACUCGUCUCGGACACCAAUCCUGCUUGGGUAUUUUCAAGGUCCAUGCUUCAAAUAUAAAUAAGAUUUUGUCCUUCUAUCUGAAACUUGAUCUUCUGCUUAUGUUUGCAUUUGCUAUCGAUGAUGUGAAUUUGAGCAAAUACCCCACAACGUUUUCACUGAGUUUGGAUAGCAUAUUUUAUGUAGGUUGGUGAGAAGCGAGGCCGACUCAUAUUUGAUGAAGAAUGAUGUGCAACCAGUAAGAAGAUUAGGAUGGGUAUUCCAGUAAUCCCGUGGAUUAGUCUCUAUAGUUGUUAGCAGCCUAUAAAGCAGAGGGUAUUCCCAUUUAGAAUAUGUUCGUGUGCAUCCACGGCCCCGCCCUCUCUGAAUUGGGGAAUUUCGACCUCCUCUGGCACGCAUGCACCCACGUACUGGAGCUCAUGAUGGAGCAGCACUAAGGCUGAUGCUGAGGGGGCACAUAUGGACAGCGCCGCCUUGCGUCUCAGCAACUCUAUGGCUCGCACCUUGAUUCGUUCGCUGACCUCCUCUGGCGCGCAUGCACCCACGUACUAGAGCUUAUGAAUGAGCAGCACUAAGGCUGAUGCUGAGGGGACACAUAUGGACAGCGCUGCCUCGCGUCUCAGCAGCUCUAUGGCUCGCACCUUGAUUUGUUCGUUGCCACACGCCUCAACUGCUUGGCGACGCGCACGAUUGGUGGAGCCACCUGCCACAUGACUUCGCAGUUCGCGCCUAUUUUGGUUCUUAAGGUUCAUGGCCAUGAUUUUUUUUUGGAAUGCAAAAUUUGGUGCGAGUUCAUAUGAAUCACACAAUGCUUCGCAUAAGUUGGUGCAGAUUUAAUCGGGAACUUUGGUAAUACAAAUCCCCCUCCAUUGCCUCUUUUCAUAGUCAGUCAUCGUUUCUAUUUCGAUUUUGGUAGCUAUGCCUAUCCUUGUUAUAGAUCAUAAGGUUGUCAUCUUCACAGAUCAUGAUAUAUAAGUGAUGCAAAAUGCAGACGACCCACAAUCUAUCUGAAACUAUUUAUCUACAGUUGUGUUCUUUUUGGGGUAUCUGAACAUGUCCUAAAGAUUUUGAAGAAAUGGAUAGCCAAAACGGUGGUGUCUUUGGCCAGAUGAUUUGACCAUCAUCUAUGAUCUGGAAGAAGAACCUCUCACACAAACAUGUAUAUUUAUUUGUGAAUCCAAUCAUAACCAGAAUGUAUUUGACCUUUUACAUUUUCCGACAGAAAGUAUGAGCACCUAAAUUUCUUGGAAUUCAGUAGCUCAUGUCUUGGAUACAUAGGUAUUCCAGUCACUCUAAAUUUCUGUAUGUUUUCGCAUAUAAUUGUCAACUUUUGUACUGCGCAUGCUCCCUUAUCUGUCUUCUCCAUGUUCUCCGGCUGGAAUAUAAUUUGAGAAGAGACUAAAAGUCUGUUUUCUCCAUGUGUACCAGCUCUGGAAGAUAAUUUGGGGAAGAGACUAGAAGUCAACAAAAUGUGUAUUGUGAUUCUGGUCUAAGAACAUUUUUUCUUGUAUAGCAUGUCUUGGAUGAGAAAGGUCGUGAGAACUUCAAUGAAUACUUCAGCACUGCCAACAGAUGCUGACAAAGAUGAAAAAACAUGAGGUUGCUGACAACAUUGAGUGUGACUUGCUUUUGGUGCUACUGCUACUGAAGACAAGCUCCAGAAAAAGGUACUAGAAUGCAUUGAAAAGCUCCCACAAGCAGGAAUUAAGUUCUGUGUGCUGACUGUGACAAAAUGGAUAGCUAUCAAUAUUGGGUUCUUGAUUUUUUUUGAUCGAAUCACUGGAUGUUUCCCUGGUUGGUCUUAUGGUGAGGAUCAGAUAGUUCUCUUUGAUGAUGAUGGCACCAACACAGAAGAUGCAGCUUGCGGAUCCCACGGCAGGACUCGGAUGAUGACGAUGAACCUGACUACCUAUUGCAAUCUGAACACCUAAAGAAGUUCUUGUUCUACGGUGACAACGUCAGGCGCAAGGCGGUGGUGGAGACAUGCGCGGACGAGCACGUGCAGAAGCGAACGGUGCUCCACGGCUGCUGCUGUGUCAUCGGAUAUUAGGUGAGAGUGCGGAAGAAAUAAAGGUUGCAUAUGACAUGCACGAGAGGAAAUCAGAGAUGGCUCGGCGAUCCCAAGGCAACAUCGAUAUGCAGCAUAUAGCCAGGACGUCUGGGGUAGUAUCAGAAACGACCGCGUAAAGGGCCUAAACAGUAAGCAAAAAAUCUGCUUGUCAAACAAGCAUACAUAAUCAUGUUCUAUAUGAGUUUUUGGAUUAGUAACCUGUCAUGUGCAAUUAAGAAAAUAGCAGCAACAAUGGUAAAAAGAUUAAGAGAAAAUAUGUUUUUGCAAUUGGGACAAUCAUGUCAAAUACUGAGAAAAUCUGGUUGCGCAAUCGGGAUAUGAUCAGGUCAAAAAUAAUAUUAACAAUAUGUAGUGCUUAGUUUAUUUUUAUAUUUGGAGACCCUUGAAAAGAAUAGAAAAGAAAUGAUUAGAUGUUUCCAUGCUAGAUCUAUUUUAUUUGUUUCACUACUGCAACAGUAACAUGGAAUGAAUAGCAAAGAGUAUGAGCAAAUUUGAUUUACAGAAACCGGCAAAAAAGAUCUUGAAUUAGGGAAGUAAUAAUGCUUAAUUUAUUUUUAUAUUUGGAAACCCUUGAAAACAAUAGAAAAGAAAUGAUUAGAUGUUAACACCCUAGAUCCAUUUUAUUCGUUUCACUAUUGCAACAGUAACAUGGAAUGAGCAAGAAAGAGUAUGACGCUGCGUUUGGAUGUCUCCAUUGGUGCCCAGGAAAUGGAUUUGAGGGCUACCCCUUCGAAUUGGACUGAAAUGGCCAACCUCCCGCAAAACGUACCUGUUCGAGCCCGCUACCAGAAAAUAAAAGAGAGAAAGGAGCGAGAGGGCGACCUCGCGAUGACCUAGCAGGUAGCGGGCGGGUGGCCGCGGCGACCUAGGAGGUGGGUGGCGGCGGCGACCACCAUGGAGUCCGACGGCGUCAAGGAUGCUCUCCUCCCCGGUCCUUUCCCUCUUUCCCAACUCCUCUUCUCCGCCCCACCGAGCCACACCCCGCCAUGGAGGUCGGCGGCGGCCCAGGACCGGCGCGCUCCGCUCCCAUAUGCCACUCCGUGUUGUCCUUCCCGGCCACCAUGCCCCGCCCUCCUCGGCCACGCCCCACCAUCCUCUGCCCCUCUUCUGCUCCAUGACCGAAAGAGCUGCUGCUCCUCUUCUGCUACAUGGCUGAAGGAGAUGCAUUGCUAGAAUAUUUGUUAUUUUACUGCUAUUUCAUUUAAUUAUAG
Non-coding RNA from Triticum urartu, 3736 nucleotides. NCBI's taxonomy places the organism in Eukaryota, Viridiplantae, Streptophyta, Magnoliopsida, Poales, Poaceae. The record is from RefSeq and is a predicted model, not a curated record.